Molecule: unclassified non-coding RNA, 498 nt
Filed under: uncultured Glomus
Lineage: Eukaryota; Fungi; Glomeromycota; Glomeromycetes; Glomerales; Glomeraceae
Description: SSU rRNA
Rfam family: Eukaryotic small subunit ribosomal RNA
Source: RNAcentral
CCAAUAGCGUAUAUUAAAGUUGCUGCAGUUAAAAAGCUCGUAGUUGAAUUUCGGGAUCAAUAUGUUGGUCGUGCCUCGGUACGUACUAGCUUAUUGGUUUCUCCCUUCUGAUGAACCAUGAUGUCAUUUAUUUGGUGUUAUGAGGAAUCAGGACUGUUACUUUGAAAAAAUUAGAGUGUUUAAAGCAGGCUCACGCUUGAAUACAUUAGCAUGGAAUAAUGAAAUAGGACGUUUGAUUCUAUUUUGUUGGUUUCUAGGAUCGACGUAAUGAUUAAUAGGGAUAGUUGGGGGCAUUAGUAUUCAAUUGUCAGAGGUGAAAUUCUUGGAUUUAUUGAAGACUAACUACUGCGAAAGCAUUUGCCAAGGAUGUUUUCAUUAAUCAAGAACGAAAGUUAGGGGAUCGAAGACGAUCAGAUACCGUCGUAGUCUUAACCAUAAACUAUGCCGACUAGGGAUCGGAUGAUGUUAAUUUUUUAAUGACUCAUUCGGCGCCUUACG